RNAcentral lists this ribosomal RNA (405 nucleotides) under uncultured bacterium. Its description in RNAcentral is "partial 16S ribosomal RNA". It matches the Rfam family "Bacterial small subunit ribosomal RNA", at positions 28 to 526 of the family's 1533-position model. The record is from RNAcentral.
GAUGAACGCUGGCGGCGUGCCUAAUACAUGCAAGUCGAGCGAAGCGGGGACGGGUGAGAAUCACGUGGAUAACCUCCUAUAAGACUGGGGUAACUUCGUGAAAACGGAGCCAAUCCGGAUUCUUAUCGCUGGAUCGAUGCUGCAGUAGCUAGUUGGUAAGGUAACGGCUUACCAAGGCAACGAUGCCUAGCCGACCUGAGAGGAUGAUCGGCCACACUGGAACUGAGACACGGUCCAGACUCCUACGGGAGGCAGCAGUGGGGAAUCGUCCGCAAUGGGCGAAAGCCUGACGGAGCAAUGCCGCGUGAAUGAUGAAGGUCUUCGGAUCGUAAAGCUCUGUUAGUAGGGAAGCGUUACCUGCUCAGAAAGCCACGGCUAACUACGUGCCAGCAGCCGCGGUAAUUC